CUUCAAGAACACGUCUUUCAGGGAGAAAAGUCUUUUCAAGCUGUUGGUUCUUAUGUACUUCAUUGUAAUAUUAGUGGAAAGUGAAGCAGAGCACUCUGUUUCAUGCAGAGGAAGUAAAAAAGAAAAGAAAAGAAGAAACUUACUCUUUAUUGUUGUGUGCCUUAGUAUUAAAAUGAGUGAGAGAGAGAGAGAGUCAAAGAAAUGUUGUGCCUUUGUUUUUAGCUUUAAAGAGAGGAGUGAGUCAAGGUGAAGAAGAGCGACGGUGGCUGUGUGUGUAUGCGUG
Molecule: long non-coding RNA, 283 nt
Filed under: Ricinus communis (castor bean)
Lineage: Eukaryota; Viridiplantae; Streptophyta; Magnoliopsida; Malpighiales; Euphorbiaceae
Description: long non-coding RNA (RCOM_LNC002659)
Source: RNAcentral